AUUGAACGCUGGCGGCAGGCCUAACACAUGCAAGUCGAACGAGUGGCGGACGGGUGAGUAAUGUCUGGGAAACUGCCCGAUGGAGGGGGAUAACUACUGGAAACGGUAGCUAAUACCGCAUACCAUCGGAUGUGCCCAGGUGGGAUUAGCUAGUAGGUGGGGUAACGGCUCACCUAGGCGACGAUCCCUAGCUGGUCUGAGAGGCUGACCAGCCACACUGGAACUGAGACACGGUCCAGACUCCUACGGGAGGGCGCAGUGGGGAAUAUUGCACAAUGGGCGCAAGCCGUAUGCAGCCAUGCCGCGUGUAGGAAGAAGGCCGUCGGGUGGUAAAGUACUGUCAGCGGGGAUGCGUUACCCGCAGAAGAAGCACCGGCUAACUCCGGGUCAGCAGCCGCGGUAAUAC
RNAcentral lists this ribosomal RNA (406 nucleotides) under uncultured bacterium. RNAcentral describes it as "partial 16S ribosomal RNA". It matches the Rfam family "Bacterial small subunit ribosomal RNA", at positions 29 to 526 of the family's 1533-position model. The record is from RNAcentral.